RNAcentral lists this ribosomal RNA (464 nucleotides) under uncultured bacterium. RNAcentral describes it as "partial 16S ribosomal RNA". It matches the Rfam family "Bacterial small subunit ribosomal RNA", at positions 341 to 795 of the family's 1533-position model. The record is from RNAcentral.
ACGGGGGGUGCAGCAGUGGGGAAUAUUGCACAAUGGGCGCAAGCCUGAUGCAGCCAUGCCGCGUGUAUGAAGAAGGCCUUCGGGUUGUAAAGUACUUUCAGCGGGGAGGAAGGGAGUAAAGUUAAUACCUUUGCUCAUUGACGUUACCCGCAGAAGAAGCACCGGCUAACUCCGUGCCAGCAGCCGCGGUAAUACGGAGGGUGCAAGCGUUAAUCGGAAUUACGGGGCGUAAAGCGCACGCAGGCGGUUUGUUAAGUCAGAUGUGAAAUCCCCGGGCUCAACCUGGGAACUGCAUCUGAUACUGGCAAGCUUGAGUCUCGUAGAGGGGGGUAGAAUUCCAGGUGUAGCGGUGAAAUGCGUAGAGAUCUGGAGGAAUACCGGUGGCGAAGGCGGCCCCCUGGACGAAGACUGACGCUCAGGUGCGAAAGCGUGGGGAGCAAACAGGAUUAGAUACCCUUGUAGUC